GUCGGGAUAGCUCAGCUGGUCGAGCACAGGACUGAAAAUC
RNAcentral lists this transfer RNA (40 nucleotides) under Petrea kohautiana. Its description in RNAcentral is "partial tRNA-Phe". The record is from RNAcentral. Lineage: Eukaryota; Viridiplantae; Streptophyta; Magnoliopsida; Lamiales; Verbenaceae.